CUUCCCUCUUCUAUGCAGAAUGUGCUGGAGAGGGGCAAGCUAAAAAUAAUACCCAAAGGCCGACCCCACACCCUUUAUAUCUGCUCCUGUGGAGUGUUUGGAAGCAGGCAACUUGCUCACUGACAACUGAAGCAAACGGGUUCAAUGAAAUCAGACAUGCUUUAAAUUUAAGUCACUCAGUGCAUAUGUCAGAUGAGAUUACAAAGGUUUACCCAAUUUCUUUUUCAACAGGAAGUUGCCUUUCAAGUUACAUUUCAGUGAUACUGCAGCCAAGUAUUUAUUAAUGCUUUGUCAUUUUGAAAUUUGUCUCUAGUCUAGCCUGUGCAUUUGAGUGUGUUAUCCAUUAACUGUUAGUUCUGAAGCUGUGUGUUUGUUAUCUAUAUAUUGUGGACGAGAGCUCAGAGUUCAGUGUCUUGCUGUGGUUAAAGUGUACCCUGAGCAUACCAGACAGGUUUGGAGCGGUUUUGAAAUUUAGAAAUUGUGCCACCUAAUGCAGCCGAGGCCGCUCAUAGAUCCGAUUCGGUCUAGCUUCAGGCCAAAGCAACCACGGUUCCAACCCCUCCGAGACCGGUCUGACAAAGCUCGCUUUUGAUUGGCCAGAGCUCCCUUGAGGAGACGGACCCAGGAGUUUUCAUUCUGCACAGAGAUGAGUGAGUCUGCCUACCUGCAUGGCCCGGUCGGGGGUGUGCAGGCUUCGGCUGUGGCUGGGUUUCAGCGGUGCCAGUAGGAGCAGCACUGCCAGAACAGCAGAGCACAGCAUCAUGCAGCGGAGACACACGAG
Molecule: long non-coding RNA, 781 nt
Organism: Ictalurus punctatus (channel catfish)
Lineage: Eukaryota; Metazoa; Chordata; Actinopteri; Siluriformes; Ictaluridae
Exons: 3
Source: RefSeq, a predicted model, not a curated record